UAGUAAUCUCUGGUGUUAAA
Molecule: unclassified non-coding RNA, 20 nt
Filed under: Mus musculus (house mouse)
Lineage: Eukaryota; Metazoa; Chordata; Mammalia; Rodentia; Muridae
Description: oocyte_clustered_small_RNA7774
Source: RNAcentral